Molecule: ribosomal RNA, 891 nt
Filed under: uncultured bacterium
Lineage: Bacteria
Description: bacterial SSU rRNA
Rfam family: Bacterial small subunit ribosomal RNA
Source: RNAcentral
AGAGUUUGAUCAUGGCUCAGGAUGAACGCCGGCGGUGUGCCUAAUACAUGCAAGUCGAACGCGUUGGCCCAACUGAUUGAACGUGCUUGCACGGACUUGACGUUGGUUUACCAGCGAGUGGCGGACGGGUGAGUAACACGUAGGUAACCUGCCCCAAAGCGGGGGAUAACAUUUGGAAACAGAUGCUAAUACCGCAUAACAAUUUGAAUCGCAUGAUUCAAAUUUAAAAGAUGGCUUCGGCUAUCACUUUGGGAUGGACCUGCGGCGCAUUAGCUUGUUGGUAGGGUAACGGCCUACCAAGGCUGUGAUGCGUAGCCGAGUUGAGAGACUGAUCGGCCACAAUGGAACUGAGACACGGUCCAUACUCCUACGGGAGGCAGCAGUAGGGAAUCUUCCACAAUGGGCGCAAGCCUGAUGGAGCAACACCGCGUGAGUGAAGAAGGGUUUCGGCUCGUAAAGCUCUGUUGUUAGAGAAGAACGUGCGUGAGAGCAACUGUUCACGCAGUGACGGUAUCUAACCAGAAAGUCACGGCUAACUACGUGCCAGCAGCCGCGGUAAUACGUAGGUGGCAAGCGUUAUCCGGAUUUAUUGGGCGUAAAGCGAGCGCAGGCGGUUUGAUAAGUCUGAUGUGAAAGCCUUUGGCUUAACCAAAGAAGUGCAUCGGAAACUGUCAGACUUGAGUGCAGAAGAGGACAGUGGAACUCCAUGUGUAGCGGUGGAAUGCGUAGAUAUAUGGAAGAACACCAGUGGCGAAGGCGGCUGUCUGGUCUGCAACUGACGCUGAGGCUCGAAAGCAUGGGUAGCGAACAGGAUUAGAUACCCUGGUAGUCCAUGCCGUAAACGAUGAGUGCUAGUGUGUUGGAGGGUUUCCGCCCUUCAGUGCCGCAGCU